RNAcentral lists this ribosomal RNA (569 nucleotides) under Mycobacterium intracellulare. RNAcentral describes it as "bacterial SSU rRNA". It matches the Rfam family "Bacterial small subunit ribosomal RNA", at positions 66 to 638 of the family's 1533-position model. The record is from RNAcentral. Lineage: Bacteria; Bacillati; Actinomycetota; Actinomycetes; Mycobacteriales; Mycobacteriaceae.
ACGGAAAGGCCCCUUCGGGGGUACUCGAGUGGCGAACGGGUGAGUAACACGUGGGCAAUCUGCCCUGCACUUCGGGAUAAGCCUGGGAAACUGGGUCUAAUACCGGAUAGGACCUUUAGGCGCAUGCCUUUUGGUGGAAAGCUUUUGCGGUGUGGGAUGGGCCCGCGGCCUAUCAGCUUGUUGGUGGGGUGAUGGCCUACCAAGGCGACGACGGGUAGCCGGCCUGAGAGGGUGUCCGGCCACACUGGGACUGAGAUACGGCCCAGACUCCUACGGGAGGCAGCAGUGGGGAAUAUUGCACAAUGGGCGCAAGCCUGAUGCAGCGACGCCGCGUGGGGGAUGACGGCCUUCGGGUUGUAAACCUCUUUCACCAUCGACGAAGGUCCGGGUUUUCUCGGAUUGACGGUAGGUGGAGAAGAAGCACCGGCCAACUACGUGCCAGCAGCCGCGGUAAUACGUAGGGUGCGAGCGUUGUCCGGAAUUACUGGGCGUAAAGAGCUCGUAGGUGGUUUGUCGCGUUGUUCGUGAAAUCUCACGGCUUAACUGUGAGCGUGCGGGCGAUACNGGCA